This 245-nucleotide unclassified non-coding RNA is filed under the name Hevea brasiliensis (rubber tree). Lineage: Eukaryota; Viridiplantae; Streptophyta; Magnoliopsida; Malpighiales; Euphorbiaceae. The record is from RNAcentral.
GAUAGAGAAAAACAAGAAAACUGGGUAUUCAUAAAUUCCUUCUCUCUAUUUUUUAUAUAGAAAAAUUCAUGAACUCAUUGUAUCAUGAAACGGAAAUACCUGACGACUGAUUUAUUAAUCAAAUGAGUAUAUUCUUUCUGUUAAUUCAUUUUAACAUGUGUGAGCUGCAAAUCUUACAAUAUAUCAUGCAUAUAUAUUUAUAUUAUAUUCUUUUCCUUUGGAGAUGGGAUACUCCUAUCCAUGUU